RNAcentral lists this ribosomal RNA (1579 nucleotides) under Malacomys edwardsi (Edward's swamp rat). RNAcentral's name for it is "16S ribosomal RNA". It matches the Rfam family "Bacterial large subunit ribosomal RNA", at positions 379 to 2925 of the family's 2925-position model. The record is from RNAcentral. Lineage: Eukaryota; Metazoa; Chordata; Mammalia; Rodentia; Muridae.
ACUAACUCUAGCUCUUACAUACACCUAACAUAACUAUUUACAUAAAUUAAUUAAAUCAUUUAGUCCAAUAAAGUAUUGGAGAAAGAAAUUAUAUUAUAGAAGCUAUAGAGCCAGUACCGCAAGGGAAAGAUGAAAGACAACUUAAAAGUAAAAAAAAAGCAAAGAUUAAACCUUGUACCUUUUGCAUAAUGAAUUAACUAGAAAAACUCUAACUAAAAGAAUUUAAGCUAGAAACCCCGAAACCAAACGAGCUACCUAAGAACAAUUUUACGAAUCAACCCGUCUAUGUGGCAAAAUAGUGGGAAGAUUCUUAGGUAGAGGUGAAAAGCCUAACGAGCUUGGUGAUAGCUGGUUACCCAAUAAAUGAAUUUCAGUUCAACUUUAAAUUUACUAUAAGAACAUGCAAUCAAAAAGUAAAUUUAAAUUAUAGCCUAAAGAGGGACAGCUCUUUAGGAAUGGGAAAAACCCAAGACAGCGAAUAAACUAUAUAACCCUAUUAAAUUCAUUGUUGGCUUAAAAGCAGCCACCAAUAAAGAAAGCGUUCAAGCUCAACAUUUUCAGAAAAUACUAAUUAAAUUAUUUUUGAUAAAUUCCUGUCAUAUAAAUUGGGUUAAUCUAUCAUUACAUAGAUGAAAUACUGUUAGUAUAAGUAACAAGAAUAAUUUCUCCAAGCAUAAGUGUAUAACAAUACGGAUACCCAUUGUUAAUUAUCAAACCAUAAAUAUUAAACCUCUUAAUUAAACUAUUUAUUAAUUAUCUGUUAAUCCAACACAGGAAUGCUUUAAGGAAAGAUUAAAAAAAAUAAAAGGAACUCGGCAAACUAGAACCCCGCCUGUUUACCAAAAACAUCACCUCUAGCAUAACAAUUAUUAGAGGCACUGCCUGCCCAGUGACUAAAGUUAAACGGCCGCGGUAUCCUGACCGUGCAAAGGUAGCAUAAUCACUUGUUCCUUAAUUAGGGACUAGCAUGAAUGGCUAAACGAGGGUUCAACUGUCUCUUAUUUUUGAUCAGUGAAAUUGACCUUUCAGUGAAGAGGCUGAAAUACUGUAAUAAGACGAGAAGACCCUAUGGAGCUUUAAUUAAUUAGCUUACUUAUUUCCCUUAUUUAUCUAAUGAACCAAAAUAAAUUAAUUUAAGCUAUAAAUUUCGGUUGGGGUGACCUCGGAGAACAAAAAAUCCUCCGAAUGAUUAUAACAUAGACCCACAAGUCAAAGUAAACUACAUUAUCUUAUUGACCCAAAACAUUAUUUUGAUCAACGGACCAAGUUACCCUAGGGAUAACAGCGCAAUCCUAUUUAAGAGUUCAUAUCGACAAUUAGGGUUUACGACCUCGAUGUUGGAUCAGGACAUCCCAAUGGUGCAGAAGCUAUUAAUGGUUCGUUUGUUCAACGAUUAAAGUCCUACGUGAUCUGAGUUCAGACCGGAGUAAUCCAGGUCGGUUUCUAUCUAUUUAUAAUUUCUCCCAGUACGAAAGGACAAGAGAAAUAGAGCCACCUUACUAAUAAGCGCUCUCAAAUUUAUUUAUGAAUAAAAUCUUAAUUUAGUAAAUUUAUAAAUUCAAAUUACCUAGACAAGGUU